This is a long non-coding RNA of Vespa crabro (European hornet), 4100 nucleotides long. RefSeq lists it as uncharacterized. NCBI's taxonomy places the organism in Eukaryota, Metazoa, Arthropoda, Insecta, Hymenoptera, Vespidae. The record is from RefSeq and is a predicted model, not a curated record. The transcript has 2 exons.
UCUUAAAUAGAAAUGAAAAAUACUUUGAAUAGUAUAAUAUCUUGCAUCUGCUUUAUAAAGGCGUUGUUUUUGUGCAACGUUCUACAGAUAAUAUAUAUAUUUAAUUUUACAUACAUAAAAUAAAAUUAAUGUUAUAUAAAUCAAAAAUGCAAGUGAUUAAAAUCUUAUAGAUACGAACGAUUUAGUACGAUAAUGAACUCUCAUUUCAUUUCCUUCGUCUAUGUAUAUACAUAAAGAAGAGACAUACUUACGUAUGCACACGCAAAAGACAUUCGAUAUGCGUAUUUCGAUACUUUAAGGUCGCCCGCAAAUAGAAACCCUCGUUCGUGAUGCGGAUCUUUCGAGAGAAAGAAAGAAGGAAAGAAAAAAAAAAGAAAAAGAAAUGCAGUACUACGAGACAGACAUGGGUGAUCAAUUUCACGAGAUCGGCAAAGAAUGGAAAGCAAACCGUUAUUUUGUAUAAGAAUGUAAAUCGUCGAAUUAGCAACGAGAUGCUUUUUCGCGACCUGAUAAUUAUUCGACGAGAAAUCGUAUGAGAAAUUCUUACAAUCACAUUCAAUCGAUGUAAAUAGGUGCUUACGAAUGAUCAGGUAGUUUGUUGCGGGAAUUUUAAAUUUACGAUUCGCUACGAUUGUUUUUUCGUUAUUUAUAACCUAGAAAAGUCAAUCUCGAUUUGGCAAAGGAAUUCUUGAUCGAUUUAUUUCCUCUUCGCGUAAGAACAAACCUAUAUAAUUCUUAUUAUUAUAAUAAUUAUUGACUUUUUUCAAUUACACUUUUAUCGAAAUGUCUAAAUACAAUAAACCACAAUCCAUUUCCAGAUAUAACAGAUUAUACAAAGAACAUAAUUCGUUGUUCCAAAAAUCUUGAAAAUAACUUUACAAUUUGAUUGAUUUCUUUCCAAAGAAUUUUGUAUUAUAAGCUUUUGCGUGGUAUUUGUCAAUAAACAAUUUUCAAUUUGUAUUUGUCUAACGUAACAAAACAUUUAUUAAUAACUACUUCGUUUUAACGAGAAUCAAUUGAUCCACAAUUGAACUUGUUUACGUAAGAUAUAUUUCGUUUCAAGGAGUCAUAAUUCGAAUUACAAAAUCUAUAAUGUAGCUAAUCGCGACAUCUAUGUAUAAAAAUGUUUAACUUUAAAGUACUAAUUACAAGUAGCAUUAAAUAGUGCUAAAUGGUGCUAAAUAUUACAAUUUUAAUGUGUAUCUACGAAAUAAGAAAUGAUAAUUGGAUUGAAGAAGGAAGAGAAUUUGUUUAUUUCAAUAAUCGUCAAAGCACUAUCUAAUUGUAAGAUUGAAUCAGAAUAAUGACAGAAAGAAAUUACAACGAAGUAGAAUAAAGAAGAGAGUUAAAGAGAAAGAAAGAGAUCAGUGAUAAAUUCUUUGGUAUGGUAAUACACACAUUCCACAUAUCACAACGCUUUAAGAAUUAUUCUAUAGGGUGUCGCGAGAAAAAAGAUGUAGGUAUUUCUUCCUCAAUAAAUAAUAACUGCCCCAUUCAUGCUCGCUCUAGCGUAAAAACACUAAAUAAAAGAAGAGAAAAGAAAGAAAUAAACGUGUACUUUAAUUAUAUGAAGUAUAAUGAUCUAUGUCAUUAGCACCAUUAAAACGAAAGAAGAUUUAUGCGAUUAAGUAACGCUCUGUUUGUAAUCAUUAGUAUCUAAGAAAACUUUUUAUUGACAUGCAUUUCGUAUAUCUGAUAGAUUUAAGCAAGGCAUUUCAAUUUCACAUUCCUACUUCAUUACCAGAGAAAGAAAAAAAGAGAGAGGAGGGAGAAAGAAAGAGAGAGAGAGAAAGAGAGAAGAAAGAAAGAGAAAAAGAGAGAGAGAGAGAAGAAAGAAAGAAAAAAAGAAAGAGAGAAGAAAGAGAAAGAGAGAGAGAGAGAGAGAGAGAAGAAACAGAAAGAGAGAGGGGGGGAGAGAAAGGGAAAGAGAGGGAGAGAAAGAGAGAGAAUAUGGUAUCUAAUCUUUAACAUCAAGCUGAUGUUUCCAAGGCGUUACAAAAUGUUAUGACGUAUUAAUAUAUCGAAGUCAUGUAGAUAUACGUAGGUAGAAGUUGAAUCCCUUCGUACGCAAUCAAAUACGCCUAUACACUGGCAGUACUUUCAUAGUUCAACACACCUACGCUUUAUAGAUAUAUAAUUCGGAUUAUUUUCAAACAUUUCUCAAGACUUCAAUAAACUAUUACGAGAUACCGAUCAUCUCAGCAAGUAUAAUGGAUAAUUGAAAUGUUUCAAACGAAUCCAAUAAAAAGUUCUCUCAUCUAUGUGAAGAUCAACGUCAAAACGUAGCCCUAACAUAGAAGACAUCUACAUAGCGUAACGAAUCACGUACACGUGGUCACCACUGUGGAGAAUGCAUUUCUUUAUAUGGCAUCUAUAUAAUAUUCUUCACAAUCUAUCUAGUGGCAUAACGCAUAUACUUUAGCGUUCUAUUCAUGGUCACCGAUUUUACCGUUAAAACGCGACAUUUCCGUUCAUUGCUAGAUAUAAAUAUGAGUUUCCUUUUAUAGAUGUGAUAGAUAUUGAAAAGGAACAAUUUUAACGUACUCCAUCUUUGAGAAGAAGCUAACUCGAUCAACCUUUCCUGAGUAGGCACGUAUUUGUACGCCUAUUAUGUGAUCAAGGUGCAUAAUGCGGUGUCUUAAAUUGCGUGGGAGAUAUAGGAUCAUAAUAAUCGUCCAGGAAACCCAUGGCUGAAGAUAUUGUCUUAUACAAAAAGGAAAUGACGUAUAUGAAAUAAAAAAAGAGAAAAAAAGAAAAAGAAAAAAAUACUAAGUAAAGAAAACGAUGAACGUAUCGUGUAUUUGGGUCAGUAGCACAACACUUGAAUGCGUGAAAUCGUAAGUCAAUGACCUGAUCGAUGACCUGUUGACUUAGAGAGGGUACAUUACUUGCGAACGAGAAAGAAUCUAAGCAAUGUUCACGGAAGUAAACGCGUAUAUACACAUAUAUGUAGUACGUAUAUACAAAUGGAAGCCAACUCCGUAAUAAACAGACAGAAAGAACAUCUUUAUCUCUCGAGAGAGUUGAUUCGUAAAUAAUGAUACACUUUAAAAUGGAUAAUAAAUCGUUACUAAUCGAAUUUUUUUCUUCGACAAAUAUAGACAUUUGUUUCGGUCAUUGUAUAUUAUAGAGCUAUGCACAUCAAAAUCAUUAUUCUUGUGCCUGAAGAAUGAAGGCAACGGUAUAAAAGCAGAGUGAAAGUUUCUCGUGAUAAUAGAAAUGGCAAUUUUUAAUAUUUAUAAACUAUCGAGUUCCUAUUGAGUAUCGGCCUUCUUAAUAAGAUUUUUAAAUACCUUUCUAAGUAUAUAUAGUUUAAAUAAAUACAUUAUACGAAUACUUUUUAUAUCUCCAUUACAGAUUCAUGUAUGAAUUAAUAAUCGUUAUUUUAUAGUAGAAUUUAUGCUUGAGAGAAUGCAAUCGUUAAAAUGAUAAUUCUUCAUUAUUAAGACAUAUUUAAUAUUGAUGAAUUUAUGGAAGAAUUUUAAUAAUAUGUAUAAAACUUAUAUUGCGUUUAAUCAAAUAAUACAUCAACGAUGCUGAUUUUUCCUACUUUUUAAUCUGUGACGGUACUGCCAAGUGCCAUGCAUUCCGUUGAAUCGCAUACAAAUAUGCAUGCAUGUACGAGGUACAUACAUAUGCAUGUAUACUCCAUAGUUAAAUGCAAAAUAAUUCGUUCAGCUCUCGAUUACAAACCUUUUUUUAAUGGAUAACGUCAUGAAAGAAAACGAAGACGAUUGACAAUGCUUCAUUAUUUUCUUUUUUUUUUCUUUUGUUAGACAAAAUUAAAAUGAUAGUAUGAAAACUUACCGGGAACGACUUCGCCAUUGAAUGUCAUUUCAACCAAAUGUGUAACAGCUUCAUGAGAUCCAGCUCUCGAGCCAUCAACUAUAACAAUAUUAUACAUCUAAGAUUGUAGUAAAUAUAAUUAGAGAUAAUUGAAUAAUAAUAAUACAUACUUUCAAAUUCAACUGGUUCGUUGACCACUCCAUUCGGUAUAUGACCAACUUGUAUAGCUCUUGCAUUGUAAGCUUGUGAUCUAAAAUUCAUAAACGUAUACAAUUAAAAAAAAUUAUAACGUGUACAAAAAUGUUUAUAUCUAA